Molecule: ribosomal RNA, 478 nt
Filed under: uncultured bacterium
Lineage: Bacteria
Description: partial 16S ribosomal RNA
Rfam family: Bacterial small subunit ribosomal RNA
Source: RNAcentral
GACGAACGCUGGUGGCGUGCUUAACACAUGCAAGUCGAACGGGAUUUAGUAAACAGAAGCCUCGGUGGAAGAUUACUAAUGAGAGUGGCGAACGGGUGAGUAACGCGUGAGCAACCUGCCUAUGACAGUGGGAUAGCCUCGGGAAACCGGGAUUAAUACCGCAUAAAAUCGUAGAAACACAUGUUUUAACGGUCAAAGAUUUAUCGGUCAUAGAUGGGCUCGCGUCUGAUUAGCUAGUUGGUGAGAUAACAGCCCACCAAGGCGACGAUCAGUAGCCGGUCUGAGAGGAUGAACGGCCACAUUGGAACUGAGACACGGUCCAAACUCCUACGGGGGGCAGCAGUGGGGAAUAUUGCACAAUGGGGGAAACCCUGAUGCAGCGACGCCGCGUGAACGAAGAAGGUAUUCGUAUCGUAAAGUUCUGUCCUAUGGGAAGAUAAUGACAGUACCAUAGAAGAAAGCUCCGGCUAAAUACGUG